UGAGGAAUAUUGGUCAAUGGGCGCGAGCCUGAACCAGCCAAGUAGCGUGAAGGAUGAAGGUCCUACGGAUUGUAAACUUCUUUUAUAAGGGAAUAAAGUCACCCACGUGUGGGUGUUUGUAUGUACCUUAUGAAUAAGCAUCGGCUAACUCCGUGCCAGCAGCCGCGGUAAUACGGAGGAUGCGAGCGUUAUCCGGAUUUAUUGGGUUUAAAGGGAGCGUAGACGGGUCGUUAAGUCAGCUGUGAAAGUUUGGGGCUCAACCUUAAAAUUGCAGUUGAUACUGGCGUCCUUGAGUACGGUUGAGGCAGGCGGAAUUCGUGGUGUAGCGGUGAAAUGCUUAGAUAUCACGAAGAACCCCGAUUGCGGAGGCAGCCUGCUAAACCGCCACUGACGUUGAGGCUCGAAAGUGUGGGUAUCAAACAGGAUUAGAUACCCUGGUAGUCCACACGGUAAACGAUGGAUACUCGCUGUUGGCGAUAGACUGUCAGCGGCUUAGCGAAAGCGUUAAGUAUCCCACCUGGGGAGUACGCCGGCAACGGUGAAACUCAAAGGAAUUGACGGGGGCCCGCACAAGCGGAGGAACAUGUGGUUUAAUUCGAUGAUACGCGAGGAACCUUACCCGGGCUUGAAUUGCAGACGAAUUGCUUGGAAACAGGCAAGCCGCAAGGCGUCUGUGAAGGUGCUGCAUGGUUGUCGUCAGCUCGUGCCGUGAGGUGUCGGCUUAAGUGCCAUAACGAGCGCAACCCUCGUGUCCAGUUACUAGCAGGUUAUGCUGAGGACUCUGGACAGACUGCCAUCGUAAGAUGUGAGGAAGGUGGGGAUGACGUCAAAUCAGCACGGCCCUUACGUCCGGGGCUACACACGUGUUACAAUGGGGGGUACAGCAGGCAGCUACCGGGCGACCGGAUGCCAAUCCCGAAAGCCUCUCUCAGUUCGGACUGGAGUCUGCAACCCGACUCCACGAAGCUGGAUUCGCUAGUAAUCGCGCAUCAGCCACGGCGCGGUGAAUACGUUCCC
This 1017-nucleotide ribosomal RNA is filed under the name uncultured bacterium. RNAcentral's name for it is "bacterial SSU rRNA". It matches the Rfam family "Bacterial small subunit ribosomal RNA", at positions 355 to 1375 of the family's 1533-position model. The record is from RNAcentral.